AGUGUAGAGGUUGGUGAAGUUGCUGUCUUCUAUCAGGUAAUUCACCCUUCUCUCACUAA
This 59-nucleotide microRNA precursor is filed under the name Monodelphis domestica (gray short-tailed opossum). RNAcentral describes it as "mir-7398 microRNA precursor family". It matches the Rfam family "mir-7398 microRNA precursor family". Lineage: Eukaryota; Metazoa; Chordata; Mammalia; Didelphimorphia; Didelphidae. The record is from Rfam by way of RNAcentral.